CAGCCGCCGCGGGAAUACAGAGGGUGCAAGCGUUAAUCGGAAUUACUGGGAGUAAAGCGCGCGUAGGUGGUUUGUUAAGUUGGAUGUGAAAGCCCCGGGAUCAACCUGGGAACUGCAUCCAAAACUGGCAAGCUAGAGUACGGUAGAGGGUGGUGGAAUUUCCUGUGUAGCGGUGAAAUGCGUAGAUAUAGGAAGGAACACCAGUGGCGAAGGCGACCACCUGGACUGAUACUGACACUGAGGUGCGAAAGCGUGGGGAGCAAACAGGAUUAGAUACCCCAGUAGUCCCUGUCUCUUAUAC
Molecule: ribosomal RNA, 301 nt
Filed under: uncultured bacterium
Lineage: Bacteria
Description: partial 16S ribosomal RNA
Rfam family: Bacterial small subunit ribosomal RNA
Source: RNAcentral